UAACAGAGAAACGCGGAGACCGUGUGGAAACUCUGGUCACGCCGACUACCCCUCACAGAUGACAAUGAGAAAUUCUGGACGCAAAUAUAUAUGUUUCGAAAAACAAUGUGAAGGCCCUGGAGCACGAGUAAAAGCAGGCAGAAGCUGGAAAGGAGCCGACCCCUGAAAACAGAAACUGCAGCCAGUGAGACGCAUGUUGGUGGCAACGGACUGACAGACGCUCACAAAGGAAGCUGCGGGCUUGGCUACUCAGCACAUGGAAAAGUGUGCAGCAUCAUUAGUCACCAGGGGAAUGCAAAUUAAAACCACAGGGAGACCCCACUGCACACCCAUUCUGAAAUUCAAAGACUGACCACACGGACCAUCAGUGGGGUGUGGAGAGGGGGAACUCGUAUGCCGCCGGUGGGAAUUCAGAAAUGGCACAACCAUUGCAAAACGGAUCGCCAGUUUCUUAGGAAGGUAAAUAUACACCUGACAUUUGACCCAACAAUUCCACUCCUACGUAUUAUCCAAGAGAAACGGAAUGUGUCCACAAAGGGACCUACCUCAAAUGUUGGUAGUAGCUUUAUCCGUGUUACCAAGAAACUGGAAACAACCGGCACGUCCAUCAAGUGGAGAAUGGACACACUAAGUGCAGAAUACGACACAUGGGCUACUGGGCCACGGAAAGGGAAGGAGCGGUGAAACAGCCACGUGGGAAAAAAAAAUACACAGAGAGACCAUUUUGCAUCAGACCAGGAAAGAUAACUGUGAAGCUGCCUUUAUCGGUGAGGCUGCGGCAGGGUCUCAGCUGGUCCUCGUCUGAUUCCCAGGGCAAAUGGUAACUGCUGCCCCCAUUACAGUGGCACGAAUGCUCUGACCCAGGAGCUCCGGGAAUCCAUCCUGCAGACCAGCUCGCACAUGUGCAAAACGACUUAUGUGUCAGGGUCUUUGUCGGCAGAGCAAAUAUUGGAAAAGGUUUAAAUGCCCACGAGCCGGAGGGGAAUGGUGAAAUCAGCCACAGUCCACACGUUGACCCAGAUAAUGCACAGCCAUAAAGUGAAGGUGCUCUGCAUGUGCCUGUGGUACGGGGUGAUCUCCAGAGGGUGGUAAAAGGGACGUGUGAGAAGAGGGGAAAUUAUGUGCACAUACUUUCGCAUGUGUAUAAAAUAUUUCUGGAAGGAUGUUAGAGAAAUAGGUAACUUGGAAAUCUUGGUCACUUACGGGGAGAGAACUUGGUGUCUGGAGGAUGGGAGAAGAGGGGGCCCUUUUUAAAUUUUGAGUCAUGUCACCAGCAAUUAGUUUCCAGUUCUAAUGAAUCAGAUUAAAAUUAAAACCUCUUCCUUUAUCCCACAUCUUACAUUUUUCUGCUCUUUCCAGCAAGAUUUCUCACUUGACUGGUUAAUUCUGUGUACUUUCUAUUUCCUUUUCCCCUAAGCAUUGUGUCGUAAUCUUUAUUCUUUGUCAUUAAAAG
This 1453-nucleotide long non-coding RNA is filed under the name Equus caballus (horse). Its description in RNAcentral is "lncRNA (ENSECAG00000056719.1)". Lineage: Eukaryota; Metazoa; Chordata; Mammalia; Perissodactyla; Equidae. The record is from RNAcentral.